Molecule: ribosomal RNA, 563 nt
Filed under: Strongylura fluviatilis
Lineage: Eukaryota; Metazoa; Chordata; Actinopteri; Beloniformes; Belonidae
Description: partial 16S ribosomal RNA
Rfam family: Bacterial large subunit ribosomal RNA
Source: RNAcentral
GCCUCUUGCUAUAUAAGAAUAAGAGGUCCCGCCUGCCCUGUGACCCUGGUUUAACGGCCGCGGUACUUUGACCGUGCAAAGGUAGCGCAAUCACUUGUCUUUUAAAUGAAGACCUGUAUGAACGGCAUAACGAGGGCUUAACUGUCUCCUUUUUCCAAUCAAUGAAAUUGAUCCCCCCGUGCAGAAGCGGGGAUAAACCCAUAAGACGAGAAGACCCUGUGGAGCUUUAGACAAUAAACAGACCAUGUUAAUAAACCUAAUAAAAUAGAAUAAACUUAUUGGUUAACUGUUCUAAUGUCUUUGGUUGGGGCGACCGCGGGAUAAUAAAAAACUCCCAUGUGGAAAGAGAAUAUUCUUUCACAACCCAGAGUAACAACUCUAAGCAACAGAAUUUCUGACCAAAAAUGACCCGGCAGUGCCGAUCAACGAACCUAGUUACCCCAGGGAUAACAGCGCAAUCCUCUCCUAGAGCCCGUAUCAACGAGGGGGUUUACGACCUCGAUGUUGGAUCAGGACAUCCUAAUGGUGCAGCCGCUAUUAAGGUUCGUUUGUUCAACGAUUAA